This 253-nucleotide ribosomal RNA is filed under the name uncultured bacterium. Its description in RNAcentral is "partial 16S ribosomal RNA". It matches the Rfam family "Bacterial small subunit ribosomal RNA", at positions 524 to 776 of the family's 1533-position model. The record is from RNAcentral.
UACGGAGGGUGCAAGCGUUAUCCGGAUUCACUGGGUUUAAAGGGUGCGUAGGCGGAUUGGUAAGUCCGUGGUGAAAUCUCCGAGCUUAACUCGGAAACUGCCGUGGAUACUAUCAGUCUUGAAUAUCGUGGAGGUAAGCGGAAUAUGUCAUGUAGCGGUGAAAUGCUUAGAUAUGACAUAGAACACCCAUUGCGAAGGCAGCUUACUACACGAUCAUUGACGCUGAGGCACGAAAGCGUGGGGAGCAAACAGG